AGGUAGAGUAUUUUAUUCAAUAGAGUAAAUUCAAUAAAUCAAAUACAUAAAAGAGGGAGUCAUGAUGGUAUUGACUAAAAAUUGGAAACUUUCAUAUCAAUACAUAAAUUUAUUAAUUAAAGCAAUACAGUACACAUAAAACAACUUUAAAGAAGAUGAAGUAAUGUAAUAUAAAUUAGGAGAAUUCGAUCUCAAAAUACCAUUUGGUGUGAUCCUUUGUUCCCCUUAAAAUCCAAUAUUUGACAAUUCAUCUUAGGCAGUCACGUUUGUAUCGGGGGCAUGCUUUUCGAGUACCAGGAUUUGAUACAGGAAGGCAGUAGCGGUUCCCCGGACGGCAAUCAAGAGCAGGACGGUUAGGAUUUCCCACGCCGCCAGUUGCGCUAUUGGUGCUAGCUGUAAGCAUUCUGUUAGUCUCGGAGUCCAUCAUCAACUCUAAUUCCAUGUUGGUAUCUGCCAUGGAAAAGGAAAAGGAGUUGUUGCUAAUCAUUUCCUGCGGAGUACUAACAGCUCCCAGACAACUGCUUCUGCUCAUCAGAAUCAAAAUCACCACCACCGCUAGAGAAAGACUCCUCAUUCUGCCUUUUUUUUUAGUACUAUUUUCUAGUGUCGGUGUUUAUUUCAUAUGAAAAUACAGCUGGGAAGAGAGCUCUAAAUAGUAAAGUGGUGGUUUUUUGACAUUGACUUAUUGGCUGCAUUCGAAAUUGCUCCACUUAAGAAAUUGAUUUGGACCAAGAGAUAAUGGAUAAUGAGUCCACCAUAUCCUUAUCUUUAAGAUUUUAUUUAAUGUAUUUAUGAGUGUAUUAUAACUAGUGUAAUUGAUUGGUGAAUAGAGUGAGUGAUUGAUCCCUUCAUGACUCUAUUUCACCCAUUUUCAUAACUUAGCAAUAAUAAUUAUUUGUGAGUGGUUGCCUAUAUCACGACAAUCAUAGAGGUAAAAUAUCAACAUUUCCUAAACAUUAUACAACUAGUUAUAUACGGCCUGCUCGUCGAGCGAAUAUUUAUUUAUUUUUUUUAUUAUUUGAAAAAAUAUUAAUAUUUAUUGGAAAAAAAUAAAAAUAUUAAUUAUGUAAUUAUUUUAUUUAAUAAUUUAAAAAUAAUAUUAAUGAUAUUAUUAAUUUAAUUAUUUAUUAUCAAAAGCUUAAACAUUUUAUUAUUUUAAAAGAAUAUUAAUGAUAUUAUUAAAUUUUUUAAACAAUUGAACAAUAUCAUUAAAAAUGGUAGAUCAUAUUAAUUCGAACUCAAAAUAACUUAAAAGAAAAUUAAAUUAUAAAACAAUUAAAAAAAUAAAAAAUAAAAAAUAAAAUGAAAAGGAAAAAUAGAUAUAAAUAAAAACUAAUUUCUAUAUUUCCGCUCUGGUACUUCACAUAUCAAUAUGCUAACUGUAGGACAACUCAAGGAGGUCUGAGUUCUUCCAUGUUGAGCUUGUUGAAGAUGGAUAGUGGCAUCACACUUAUAUCAGCUCCUAAAUCACAUAAAGCUUUAUCAAUCUUCACUGCUCCGACUUCCACACAAGAAGGAAAAACUUCCUUAAUCUUUCAUUUUUGGUGGCAGCUUAUUUUGGAUCAUUGCAUUACAAUUCUCAGAAAGUGCCACUAUUUCCAAUUCUUUUAUUUUCCAUUUCUUCGUCAAAAUUUCUUUCAAAAAUUUAGCUAUGUCGACAUCUGAGCUGAGGCGGUGCCAAAGCCAGUGAAGUGGGGUCAAUUGACCCACUCAACUUUUAAAAACAAUUUAUAAAUAGGACUUAAUUGAUAAAAAAAAUGAAAAGUAUAUAUUAAGUGAAAAAUUGUAGAGCUUUUAAUCUAAUUGACCCCACUACAAAUGAAAUUAAAUAAAUGGCCCAACUGAAAAUCAUUUCUAGCUCCGCCACUGCAUCUGGGUCAUGAUGUAUUAAAAUGGAAUGUUAACAUAUAAUUAUUUUAGCAUCUCCAAAAAUUUCUCAAAUUGCCUAUUUUGGUUCGUUUAUCAGAGUCACUAUGGAAUGAAAUAACUUCCUCUUAAAGCCUUUUAUUCUCCUUUGAAUAUUCUCUUCUUGUCUUUUCUUUCUUACUUCAUCGUCUUCAGCUGUUUCAUGGUACUUUCUAAUUGCCACCCAAAUACUCACGAUUUUUUUCACUUAAAUGGGUUGAUAGUCACAAGUAUAUAAGGUUAUUGCAAUACCGGAUAAAUCUCUUGUUUUGUAUUUGAAAAAAAUGGCAUCGAAUGUUACUUUUGUUUUCUACAUGCUUUUUUGGAAGUUUGUGUACCGCAAAGCCUAUAGUUAGUGCAUGGAGAUUUUCUCACACAUAGGUAGUAAAGAGUAGCUAGAGCCUCAGAAGAGGAUCGUGAUCUACAUCGAUAUUAGAGUUACUUUUCUUUUUGGGUAGAAGAUCUUAUUUCUUAUAAUAGAGUAGGACAAACUUAUAUUUGGAAUGUACAAAUGUUUAUUACAUAUAUAAGAGAUUUAUAAAGAAAAAUUUUGUAUGAGCUUACAUAUUGGAAAAACCUUUAAUAGAUUAUAUAUGGACGAUUUUUUGAAAGUGAUUUGUGAAGUUUAAGCUGAUCGAUUGAAUGUAGUUAUGUGGAGUUAAAAGUGGGAAGUUUUAGAAGUGUUUUAUUAACAAGUUAAAAAUCUCGAGGAUGUUAGGAUUUUAAAGAAAACUCUUGCAUUUUUUCCGUUAAAAUAUAAGUUAAGAAAUAUAAAAAUAUACAUGUUUUAGGAUAAUAAUGGUUAAGUUUGAGAUAUGAGUUAUUGAUUAUAGAUUUAGUGCUCUUAGCGCAAUAUGUGGUAUCUCUUAUUUGGACUAUUUAUCGACCCGAUGGUUUAUCUAUAAUCCGAAUAAAAGUGUUACACGAGAAGUAUGAGUUGAUUAUUUGAAAAUAGUUAUUUGAGGUUUAAGAUUUGAUAUUAUGUUAGCAUUUUCUAAGCAAGUUUAUAAAUUAGAAAUGUUAAGAUUAUAGGGGAAAUUCUUAUAGGUUUUUUGUAGAAAUUUUAUAUACGGUUAUUGCAUGUUAGUAAUGUUACUUUGUAAGUCAGAAUCAUAUAAUAGGAAGUUACAAAAUUAGUAUAUUUGGCAUAGCAUGCGGUGAUUUAUCAAAUGCAAUCAUGUUAGUAAUGACAGAGAAGUGGCUGUGGUAGCAGAUCGGAGAUGUUAAGAAAUGAGUAAAUACUGCAUGACAGAGAGUCCUGUGGUUUCUAUGCCAACCACAAAGCGUUUGACCAAUAUACGUCACGUCGUUGUUUCGUUAACCUGAGAAUUACAGUUACGAAUAAAAGAUCAAGCAUCGAAUAUCUCCAUCCAUAGCGAGACAUAAUUGCCACAUAAGCAUUGCAACGGCAGAGAGAAUGAAUACCACCACCCACAAUGAGAAUCAAUGCCAGCAAUUCUGGAUCUUACCUUCUCAGAACAUCCUCCCCCUCUUUGCCCAACCUCCCCCUGCCACUCGCUAUCUUCAUAUCAUAACGAUCUUUCCAAAACCAGUGGCUAUCCCAACCAUUCACGACAACAAAGCCGUCUUUUCUUGUCGCUAUUUCAUUUUGAUUUACUCUUGAUCAUUUAUCUACAAUCUCUCGAUCAUAUUAAUUUGCUUUCCUUUAAAUGCUCAUAUAUUUAUCUUCGUCAGUGGACAGAGCUCACUGCUGUAACAAAUAGCAGGACAACCCUUGGCUUUUAUCUCCAUCAAGUCAUCCCUUCACUGCACAAGGUCAUUGUUGCUUUCUUUCUCUACUACUCUUUUCUCACUGGUUAGGUUAAACAACUGAUUUAAUUAUUGCUGCUCUUACAUGGCUGCCAGGUGUGUGAUUCAAUUGAUUUGAUGAUGACUUUUUAUGUGGUCAGCUUGAAACUGACGCAAUAGUUGUAGCGAUUGAUUAUAAAGGCUGAGGUCAAUGCCAUCAACAUUUCUACCCACACGUGCCUGCAGAAUUAUCUGAAACAAAACACAAUACCAGUGUAUGUUAACAACAAAUUGAAAUGAGAGGAAUGGGUGGGGAGACAAGGAAGAGAGGGAGAGUCAAAGUGACCAGUGCAGCAAACCCAUGAAUGAAUUAUUUCAGUCUUACCUCAUUAUCAGAUUGAAUAUGCAGUUCACCGAUGAACUGGUAGAUGGAACCAAUUCGGAAGCUAAGGUUUCUCAAGUGUUGGGUGUCAAUCUUCAGAAUAGCAUUUCCAUCAACAAUUAUAGCUAUGGCAGUUUCCACAGAAUAUUCUUGUAACCUGCAGGAGAAACAAAAGAUUUUCUAACAUGUUGCAGCAUAAGAUAAUGAACUAACAAUAUAAAAGCGUAAAUUACACAUGGUUGAACUGCUAGACUCUCCUAAUAGGACAAACAUCCCAUAGAUGAAACUCACAAUGAAUGGAAGUCGCCAUUUGUUUCAAAUAAUUUAAUCUGUNNNNNNNNNNNNNNNNNNNNNNNNNNNNNNNNNNNNNNNNNNNNNNNNNNNNNNNNNNNNNNNNNNNNNNNNNNNNNNNNNNNNNNNNNNNNNNNNNNNNNNNNNNNNNNNNNNNNNNNNNNNNNNNNNNNNNNNNNNNNNNNNNNNNNNNNNNNNNNNNNNNNNNNNNNNAUUUAUCAGCCAUCAUUAGAUUUCUCUAACCUAAUACUAAUAUUUCUGGCAUGUAGUCGGUUCCUAUUAAAGUCAUGUGAAGGAAGACAAGGAUUUUUUGAUGUAGGUGCUGAUUUGAUGUGUAAUGUUCCUUGGACAAACAACUUCAAUACCUCAGAAUAUGUGUUAGGCAUACCCUUCAAAUCAAUUCUGUCCAACACUCUGCUGCAACGACCGAUGCCAUCGCUUAUUCCCCUUGCUGCAACAUUGCUCCCUUUUCCCAUAGAAUUACUACCACCUAUACCAUGCCACCAAAUCCCAUAAGAUCACGACUGCAAUUUGGCUCUUCCAAUUAUAAAUUUAUUAUCAUAAUCUAAACCUAUAUAGCAAGUGCAUUUGCCCCCAUGUCUCAUCUUUAUGACCAUGUCCUCUACCUCAUCCGAACCUUUGAGACUACCACCAACAAAUAACUUUUAGACUUUAGUUAUCACCAUAUCACCUCAAAAAGCCCUUCCUUGAGGUUCCUCUCCAAACAUAUCCAACAAAAAUAAAACCACAUUAUUAUCAAUAUCAUUACCCAACACACAAACUUCCAUCAUUAUUUUAAACCACCAUUUUCAUUUCAAUCUCACAUGUUUUCUCUCCAACAAAUAAAACCACCAAUACAGAUUCUCAAAUUAAUUACACUUUCUUCCAACAAGGGAAAACUGUCCAACUUCUAUGUUAGACUAUAUCUACUACAAGCAUUACAAAAAUCCUACAAGAACACAAAUAUCAAAAAUCACAGUACAAUGCAAUUGGGGAAGGAAUGUAACGAAGUAGGUAUAUAAUAGUUAAAUAAUAAUAAUAAUAAUAAUAAACUGAUACGAACAUUAGAAGGGCUUAAGACCUUACUUUCCAGUGAUUCUAAGUGAUGCUCCUUGCUUAAAGAAAGGUGAUGAUGGUUGCAAAUCUUUCAACAUCACCAAUUCCCCAUGUUUAAUUGCAGGAAGUGCCAUUAAACCAACACUACUCACCCCCAAAGGCAGCUGAAUUCUACCUGCAAAUUAAGGAAUACAAUGAUACAAAAGAAAAUACAAAAUGACCAACAUAUCUCAAAACACGAGUUAUACAUUGUAGAAAACCAAAAAACUUUCAUCAUUUACUUUCAGAACAACAAUGUAGGAAACCCAACAAAACCUCAGAAUUAAUACCAUUUCAAAAGCAUAGUCAAGCAAAUUUAUCCACAAACCACAAAUCACAUAAACUAUCUCAAAAUUAAGCAUUCAAAUUACCAUAAAUCACAUAAACUAAAUUAUGGCUGUCCCAACUCCUAAGAAUCCAUAUCAAAUAUAGUUGAAACAACAAACCCUAAGGAAUUGGCAAACAUUUAAAUCAAAUAAUUCGACAUCAACAAGUGAGUAAAAUAAUCAACUGAAAUAGACACAAUAACACUGAAAAGAAAGUUGUUAAUUUGCAAUUGAAGUUUACCCAUAUAUCAAAAGCAAUUCUAAGCAUUCGUUCAACUGAGAACGAAAGGAAGAGGGAGGAAGCAAAACGGAAAAAAAAAAAAAAAAUGAGAAUGAAAUCAAAAAAAAAUCAAGAACGAACCUGUGGCUGAAAAGCACUUGUACGCUUGAAGAGCACGAGCUGCGGAGGCGAUGGCCAGGAACGAAAGCAACGGGAAGGUAUCUGGCAGUAUAAGUGCAGAAACGAGCGGCGCAGGGAAGGGAGGGAGGAGAAAAUACGUUCGACUUGAGUUGAGUUUGAGAGAACUUUCCCUUUGUAUGAGUAAAUUCCAACCCUAGGCUAAAACGACGUGAUUUUGGUUCUGGAUUCAUUUAAACCUCCUACAUCAAAAUUACGUCGUUCGUCGUUUUGAUGGUAAAAUAAUCAUUUUUAUUAUUAUUAUUAUUAUUAUUAUUAAAGUUAUUAUUAUUCUUAAAGUUACUAGUGUUCAAGAACGUGUGAUACACGUUUUUACUCAUUGAACAUACCCGUAAAAUGAUUAUUUAUAAUUUAUUUUUUUUAUAUAUUUUUAUUAAUUUUUAUAAAGACAAUAUAAAAAUUCAAUAUUUUUAGUUACAAUUAUUAUAUGUAUAAAAAUAUAUAUGCAAACCACUAUCAUACAUAGUUAUAAUUAUUUGAUGAAAAAUUUUAAUAAUUGUUUAUAAUAGAUUUUUUGACAAAAUGGAAUAGUAACAAAGUUGAAAAUAAAUAACCAUUUGAUCCAAGAUUUUGUCAUACAUAAAAAUAAAUACAUAUAUAAAUUAUUAGUAAUCAAAUUUAAAAUUUUUUUUGCGAUAGCAUACCAAAAAAAAAAAAUAAAAAGUUAAAAUUAGGACCUUAGCCAUUAAUAACAAUACAGUCAGAAGCUUUCAAUAUAGCAAUAGCAAAGAAACUUAUAAUAGUAGAGAGUCUUUAAUGAAUUAUUGAUAAUAAAAGUAAAAAAUCUUUAAUAGUAGCCAAAGAAAAUAUAGUUAUUUGAUAAAUUAAAUUUUCAAUUGAGUUAUAAUUUAAACCUUUAUCCUUUAUUAUCAUAAUAAUAGAUGUAAUAUUAAAUCAAAGUAUAAUAAAUUUUUAAAUUAAAAAUAUGGAACAACUUAAAAAAAAAAAAAAGAAGUGUUAAAUAUUAAAAAAAUUACAAUCAUGAUUUAAAUAAAUUUUUAUAAAAAAAUUUAAUAAAUUUAUCCUAAUUUAAAAUUGAUAAAGAAAUUUAGAUUACGGAUAAAAUAAUUAAUACCUUCAAGAGAAUAAUAAGGCUAAAAGUAGCUAAUAAUAUUAACAAAGUAAACAAAAUGAAAUAUGAAGAAAAGAAAAUAAUUUCAAUUUAUAAUUUAUAAAUUUGAUUAUUUUUAGAUUUUUAUAUAAAAUACUUAAGUCAUUUUCUAAUAAAACUAUAAAUAUGAUUGAUUUAAUAUUGGAUUCAAUCAAAACUUCUAUAAUAAGAUUUUUAUUCCUAAUUAAGAUUGGAUAGAAAUUUUCAGUUACCUUUUCUAAUAUAUAUUUGAUUUAAUAUUAAUAAAACAUAUAUAUAGAGGAAGUUAUAAUUAUACUUAUCGCAAGAAUAAAAAAUGAUUGUAAAUUCAAUAAUUCCAAAUUAGCAAAACUUGAUAAAAUAACUUGAUAGUCAAAAGCAAUAAAUUCAUUAUAGUCAAGAGUAACAAAUUCUUGAUGGUCAAAACUCAAAAGCAAUAAAAACCAAACGUAUACAGUGGUAUGAUAGGAUAAAAUCCUAAUUAAAAUAGUAUUAAAGUUCAAAUUCCUAAUUAGAGUUGGAUUAAAUUUAUAAUAUUAAUAUAAUAAAAGUAAUAAAUUGAUAUCAUAAUUAGAAUAGAAUUAAAGUUAAAUUCCUAAUUAGUAGGGAUGGCAACAAGUGGGGUUCAAGUCGAGUAGUGCAAUACCCAUGCCCAAACUCAAUCUCAUCCUCAAUCCUCAUACCCUAUUGGGUAGGAUUGAAUGCUAUACCCAUUCCAAAAUCCAAUAGGUUUGGAUAUAUCCACAAGUAUCCAUUAUCCGUGGGUGCCCAUGCGUAUCCAUUAUCCACAGAUACCUAUUUAUCCACAGAUACCCAUUUAUCUACAAACUCAUAUUUUGUAAAAAUUAAAGUAUAUUGAAUUAAAAAAAUUAAAGUGUUUAUUUAGAUGGUUUAUAUAAUACAUAAAAAAUGUGAAAAUAAAUUAAUAUAUACAUGAAUGUUCUCAUAAUUGUAAAUUAAAAUUUUAAUUCCAAAGUUGUUCUUCUUGUCAUAAUACUUCACUCAAAUGUAAUAGUAGCAUACUCUUCAAGUGUAAUUAUAAUAAAAAUCAAUUAAUAGAAUAACUAAAAAUAUCAUAUAACAAAAUUAUUAAACGUAAAAUAUUAUUAUAUGAACACUCUAAAUCCCCUUUCAAAAAAAAAAAAAAAAACACACUCUAUAUCAUUAUUGUCAUUAUGAUUUUUAUCCAUUAUUUCAAAUUGAAGUUUAAAUUAAAUAUUAGAAAUUAAAUUUUAAAUUUCAAAAUCUAAAAUUUUAAAAAUUUGAUCAAUUCAAAUUCAUAAAUGAAAACUAGAGUGAAAUUAUUUUACACUAGACGACAUUAAAUCAAAAGUAAAAUUAUAAUUUAUAUAGAUAAUUUAUUACAAGUAACCCAAUUUAUUAAAACCUUCAUACUAUAAUUUUAAAAAAAUAUAUUAAAAUUUUAAAUCUCUGGGGUUUGAAUUUUGAGUGUAGGAUCGAGUUCGGGUUUAUAAUGCAAUAUCCAUACCCUACUUGUAUCCAAAAUAAAACUAUUGGAUUUUAACUAUAUCCUAUCCAAAACAAGUCAAAACCCUAAAAUUCGGGUUUUUGACUUGGUUCGGUUGGGUGCAUACCCAUCGGGUCGGGUUGAUUUUGUCAUCCCUAGUAAUUAGAAUGAGAUUAAAUUUAUAUUAUUAAUAAAAAAGAUCUACCAAUAAGGGAUUAAUAAAUUUAAAUAUCUUAUGUUAUAAUAUAUUUAAAUUAUAAGAUAUUAAAUCGUAGUAUUCUUAUAUGUAUAGAAAUUCCAAAAGUUUCCUAAUUAGAAAACGACUAAAUUAUUUUUAAUGAUAUUUUUAAUUAAUCAACUAAUAGAAUACCAAUAUAAUUAAGAGUUUUCUAAUUAUAAUAAGACUAAAUUAUUCUUCAAUCAACCAAGAAAAUUAAAAGUCUACAAGGGCGUUGUAGAAAUCCAAUGUUCCCCCUCUUUCGCACUUUUAUGUAUAGAUAUUUUGGAAUUCCUAUACAUGCAAAAAAAUUAUGAUUUAUUAUAUUAUAAUUGGACCAUUGAAAUUUCCACGGCUAUCUUACUUCCAUUGAAAUACUUGAAACUAAAAAAAUAAAAAAUAAAAGAUAUUAUCUUGAUAAAUAUUAAUCUUACAAUCCAAAUAAAAUUUAAAAUUUUAUUAAUAAAAUAUAAAAUAAAAGGAAGGAAGAAAAGAGAAAAGGAAGUGCAAGCAUACAAAGGAUGUGACAGAAAAGAGAUAUUGUUAUGUUCCAAAACCGUGGGCAGGACCAAUACUAGGGCCUGGCUGGGUUAAGGCCUCCUAGGCCCGUAGUAAGCCUAAAUCAGUUAAGCUCAAUCUUUUCACUGUUAUCGCUUGAGGCCAAAAACCAUAUUCUUAUAAUCAAGGCUCGAUUUGAUUAUGCACAAACGUAUUGAAAAUACAAAAUUAUAUAAUUAAUACAUAUAUCCACAUCAUUCAAUUACAACUACAAUUGCAGAACUCUAUAAUCUACAAUCUUUUACAUUUACAUGCUUAACACAACCAUUAAAAUUUUCUUUUAUUUGCCUAUCAACUCAUUAGGAUCCGUAGAGUUCUUCUUUCCUUCAGUUACCUAAAAAAAUAAAAGGCAGGGGUGAACGCCAAACUCAAUGAAUAAGGUUAGAUAACCCUCUCACUCCAUACAGUUACACAUAUGAUAAUCAUAUUAUACAAUCAGUAGCCCUCCGACUAGUUAUAAAAGAACAAGCAAGUAUGACACAGAGUCCUGUGGUUUCUACGCCAACCACAAAGCGUUUGACCAAUAUACGUCCCGUCGUUGUUUCGUUAACCUGAGAGUUACAGUUACGAAUAAAAGAUCAUGCAUCGAAUAUCACCAUCCAUAGCGAGACAUAAUUGCCACAUGAGCAUUGCAAUGGCAGAGAGAAUGAAUACCAUCACCAACAAUGAGAAUCAAUGCCAGCAAUUCUGGAACUUACCUUCUCAGAACAUCAUCUCCCUCUUUGUCCAAACUUCCCCUGCCACUCACUAUCUUCAUAUCAUAACGAUCUUACCAAAACCAGUGGCUAUCCCAACCAUUCACGACAACAAGGCCGUCUUUUCUUGUCGCUAUUUCAUUUUGAUUUACUCUUGAUCAUUUAUCUACAAUCUCUCCAUCAUAUUAAUUUGCUUUCCUUUAAAUGCUCAUAUAUUUAUGUUCGUCAGUGGACAGAGCUCACUGCUGUAGCAAACAGCAGGACAACCCUUGGCUUUUAUCUCCAUCAAGUCAUCUCUUCACUGCACAAGGUCAUUGUUGCUUUCUUUCUCUACUACUCUUUUCUCACUGGUUAGGUUAAACAACUGAUUUAAUUAUUGCUGCUCUUACAUGGCUGCCAGGUGUGUGAUUCAAUUGAUUUGAUGAUGACUUUUUAUGUGGUCAGCUUGAAACUGACGCAAUAGUUGUAGCGAUUGAUUAUAAAGGCUGAGGUCAAUGCCAUCAACAUUUCUACCCACACGUGCCUGCAGAAUUAUCUGAAACAAAACACAAUACCAGUGUAUGUUAACAACAAAUUGAAAUGAGAGGAAUGGGUGGGGAGACAAGGAAGAGAGGGAGAGUCAAAGUGACCAGUGCAGCAAACCCAUGAAUGAAUUAUUUCAGUCUUACCUCAUUAUCAGAUUGAAUAUGCAGUUCACCGAUGAACUGGUAGAUGGAACCAAUUCGGAAGCUAAGGUUUCUCAAGUGUUGAAACCGACACUAUCACACAACUGAUUACUUGCAACAUCCCGAAACCAACGAAGAUCAUCCAUCUGAGCUAACGCUUACUGUGACAGUGCUCGCAGCCACUGUCCCCAAGCCCUGUCAAUCACUCCUUCCGGCAAGGAAAAUAGCUUUUCACAGUAGGCUUCAUUGUGGCCCAGGCAUCCACACAAAAAAUAGAAAAUCGGCAACCUCUCAUACUUAAAAUUAAUAGUUUUCAUUGAGCCAUCACCAUGUCUCACCUUCUUCCACCUCUUCAACGGCUUCCUGUGUUCAAACGAACCCGAAUACACAUGUAUGAUCGCCAUGACCUAUAGUUGUUUAGAUCGUACUCUAAGAAAGUUCUGAUGAAAUCACCAAACUGUUUGCCUACAUCCUCAGGCAUAACCCCCAUUGGCAAAUCAUAGACUUGAACCCAAAAGGGAGUGAAGAAAAAUGGGAGACUCUUUGGAUCGUCCCCUCACAAACCUUCUCCAGUGAUAGAGUAAUAAGUUAAGAUAAUAUUUACAAUUUAUUUGUAUUUAAUAUUAGCUAUAUUUGUAACUGUCACUAAAAGAUAUACAUGUAAAUUGCAAUAUAUUGUACCUAUCAUACAAUACAGAAUACAAAAAAGGAUUCUCAAACGUGUAAACCUCCAGAUGGUAUCAGAGCUCUAAGGCUACACGGCAUCUUCUCAUCUUUCUUUCUGUAAUUUUGUAUUCCUUCUUCAUCUUUAUUCAAAAAAAAAAAAAAAAAGUAUGGGGACAGAGCCAGCUCUCACCUCUACUGUUUCUGCACCUGCUUCUUUUUCUUCUGUCCAAGCUCCCAAUAUAACUCAGUUCAUCUCUUUGAAAUUGACCUCAGCUAAUUAUUUGCUGUGGAAAUCCCAAAUUCUUCCCCUUUUGUAUGGGUAUCGACUUGCUGGUUAUAUCGAUGGAUCUAAGCCUGCUCCUUCUCAGUCGCUUGACAAUGGUGACCCCACCUCAGCGUAUAAUGAUUGGCUUUGUCAAGAUCAAAUAGUCAGAAGCUGGAUCAAUUGUUCCGUUUCUGAAUCCCUCUUAAAUCAGAUUGUGUGUUGUACUUCUGCCAAGGAGGCGUGGGAUAAGCUUGCUACGGUUUAUUCAACAGGCUCUCAAACAAGGGAUGGAGGCGAGUUGGACGAAUAAUGGCCUUUUACUCACUCAAAAUAAGUACAUACAGGACUUACUUGUUAAGGCUGGUAUGACUAAUUGUAAGGGCCUUUCCUCACCAGCCACUACAAAAGAAUCGACUACGGAUGCACAACAAACUCCCUUUUCCGAUCCUACACUCUAUCGAAGUAUAGUUGGUGGCCUGCAGUAUCUAAAUCUGACACGACCUGACGUAUGUUAUUCAGUUCAUAAAGUGUCACAAUUUCUUCAAGCACCGACCGAGGCUAACUGGUCUUCCGUCAAGCGAAUUUUAAGGUACUUGAAAGAUACUGCAACGUGUGGUUUAUUUUUCACCAAAUCCUUGACAACCAACUUGAAUGUUUAUUCUGACGCUGAUUGGGCGAGUAGUUUAGAUGAUCGCAAGUCUACCACAGGUUAUGCUAUCUUUAUGGGUUCUAAUCUCAUUUCAUGGAACUCCAAGAAACAACAAACUGUGGCAAAAUCAUCAACAGAAGCUGAAUAUAGGGCUAUCGGACUUGCCGUUACUGAAUUGUCAUGGGUCCAAGCUUUGAUGCGAGAUAUUGGUUAUAGUUCAACAGUCACACCGAAUUUAUGGUGUGACAACAUUGGUGCCACGUAUUUGUCAGCAAAUCCUGUAUUUCAUGCCCGUACUAAGCAUUUAGAAGUGGAUUUUCAUUUUGUCCGUGACAAAGUCAGUAAGCGAGAAUUACAGGUACAAUUUAUUUGUUCGAAAGAUCAACUAGCUGACAUUCUGACGAACCCUCUACCUCAGAUUAUGCCUUAAUGCACAGUUUGACAAUUCGAAGCUUCAUUCCGCAAGCUUGAAUUGAGGGGGCCUGAUAGAGUAAUAAGUUAAGAUAAUAUUUACAAUUUAUUUGUAUUUAAUAUUAGCUGUAUUUGUAACUGUCACUAAAAGAUAUACAUGUAAAUUGCUAUAUAUUGUACCUAUCAUACAAUACAGAAUACAAAAAAAGAAUUCUCAAACGUGUAAACCUCCAGAUCCAGCACCAAAAGAUGAUUAUUAAAAGACUAGGGCCCCCCAUUCCAAACCCUAUUUAGACCAACAAUGUGAAAAAACUGGAAAAGAAAAACUCGAUAGGCAACCUCACUAACAUGAAUACCCUUGCCAGGUCUCCAAAGAUUUGCCAUAGAAUCCUUCAUAGCUUCAUAAUUAACCUUUUGAUUCGUCAAUGGCCUCCCAACCAGACAGAGGUCAUAAUUGGGUUGUUCAGUCAAUUGGCUUCUGUAUUGCAACUGCAUCUUAGCUUCCUCAUCAUCUGAUGGCACAAGACUAGCUAUCGUUUCAUGCUCACCAUAAGCAGCACCAUGACUUUAGACGCCAUAGAUAAAAAAACUCAUGCACAAAGUAAGACACCCUCACAUGCAAGACAAAUAUGAAAAAGAAAAAAACCAUAACUUGAUUUGGCCCUAAUACAUAAAAGAAAAUUUCAAGCUUUAUUAAAGGUAAACUGGACAUUUUAUUACAACUAAAUGGAAAAAUUUAAUUGAAGAACUAUUUAUUUAAAUAGCUACAAAAUAAAAACAUUAUUUAAUUAUUUUUUUAGAAUAGAAGGCAUAAAAUAAUUAAUAUGAAAUUUUGAAAAUAUCAGCUCACUAACAUAGUAUAUAAUUGAGGCACGUGUAUAAAAAUGCAUAAAAUGAGAAUUGAACCCAACGUUAAUCAAACAUGCAGCCCUCUAAUCUAGAGUCAAACGUGCUACCAUUGCGCCACAAAUCCAUGCAUAUUAAAGUAAACAUUAUAAGAUUAAAGAUUAAUUACCACCCUAUUUAUUUGUAAAUUUUUUUCAAAUUUAAAUAAUUUAGAACAUUCUAAAUAUUUUUUUUAUGAAAAAUUGGGCUUUUUAUCCUUUUGGUGCAAAUUCAGGAGCAAAUUAUAUAAAAAGUUAAUUUUUAGGCAACCUGAACAUUACUCCAAGUUCAGGAAAUAAAUUUACGACUUUAGGAAGUCUAAACUCAACAUUAGACAGCCUAAAGUCCUCGAACUAUAAAUCUCUUAGUUGCAACCAUGCUGCCUAAAUUGAAUUUUAGGAAGCCUAAAAAUGAAAAAAAAAAAAAAAAGAAAAAAAAUCAAUAACUUUUGUUAUAAAAUUCUGUUUUCAAAUCCGUUUGAUCCGAUGGAAAUCAUAUUCAACCAAUUAUUCGAAAACAUGAAUUUUUAUGGCAAAACUAUUUAAAAAUAUUCGUUUUCAAAAAUAUUUUUCCACCCAAAUGCAAUAUUUUUAAAAUGUGUUUGUCCAAAGCUGAAAUUUUAUUUGAAAAUAAAUUGUCAAUUUUAAAAUGGUGAUCGACUCAAAUGAUUUUUCAAAUUAAAAUUGUAAGAUCAUCAAAUAUACUUAAGGUGAAUUCCUAGAAUUGAACCAUCAAUUAAUUAGAGCAAUACCUUAAAAGAAGAAAUUCUAAGAAACUUAUAAUUGAAUUGUAGGCUUCAAGUAGCUUGUAUUUGUAACUUGUAUUUGUAUUUGUAUAUUUAAAUUGGAUUUGUAUAAUUGAAUUAUAAGCUGUUGAUGUUAAUUUUCUUGAAUCAACCUGCUAAUCAACAAAUAGUAAUUAAAAUUAAUUAGCAGAAUAACAAUUAUUUGUUAUUAUGUAGGUUUUAUGUAGUGGGAUUGGAAAUUUUGUUUUUUUUUUUUAAAAAAAAAAAAAAAUUGUUUUCUACUAGAACUCGAAAUCUUUUUUUUUUUUUUCAUAAAAAGAGAAAAAUUCAAGAUAAAAUAAAUAGCAACGUGUAUAGAAACAACCAAAAUUUGAAAAUCUAUGCAAAGUACGAGUUCCAACUGGGAAAUGGAUAUCAAAAUAAUCCUAGAGAGUCAAUUUAUCGAGCUAAAAUAAAAUAAUAAUAAUAAUAAUAAUAAUUUGACUAAUUUUUAGAAGAAGCAAUACGUAAGGUUGACGUUAAUACCCUUCUUUGUUAUAACAGAUGGCCCUGCAGAAGACCCUGAGAUGAUCAAUACCAUAUUUAAGACAAACAGAAUUCUCAUAUCAUAACUCAAAACCCAUAAUAUAUGUCUCUUACCAAACAUGAUCUUGGUCAUCAUAUCUGUAGCGUGGUUGAAUUCCUGUUCGGAAAAGGAAGUAGAAAACAAAAUGCAAGCCUAUACAUGUUUUCCAGCUGGACACAUUAAACUUAAUUAAUGUUUCUUAUAUGUCAAAGUCAUGAAAUAUUAAAUUUUGUUUCUUCGAUGGUUAAUUCACAUCUGAGAGAAGGGUGAUUGCAUUUAUUGCGGUAUUUAAUUAUCUUCUACCGUCUCUUCCCUCGCUAACAUUUUGAUUAAAAAUAUAUAUUUUACGAACUUUUGUAUAUUUGGUUAAAUCUGAAAUUAGAUGUGGAAAAUGGCUUUUUAGAAAUAUAUUUUUAACCGUCUGCGUGAGAAAGCUAAGAAGAAAAAUAUCUUCUGCAGCCUUCAGCUAUCGAAGUAGGGGUGGCCACCACGGUUCCAGUUCCAAAACUGAACCGGAAACUGAGGGUUUCAGUUACAGUUUGAAACCGAAUCAGAACUGGUGAUUUCAGUUACGAUUUGAAAUUGAACGGUUACGGCUCCGGUUCUUUAACGGUUUCAAAAUCGAUGAUUCCAGCCAGUUCGAUCAGUUUUCCUGCGAAUCACAUAAUUAUAAAAUCAAAAAUUAAGGAAUAUUUUUUUAUUCGAAAUUUAAAACUUAAAUAUUUAUGAAAUACUUUUUAAAAAAAUUUAAGAAAAAAUUCAAAAAGGCUUGAAUUUAAUUUAAUUUUUUUUUUAAAAAAGCCUCAACUUAAUUUUUUUUUUUUUUAAAAAAAAAAUUAAGUUGUCUAUGUAUCCUCUUAGGGUUUAGAAGAAUCAAAGCUGACGUAGUUCUUACUUACCUUGUACCAAUAUCACCCUUUUAUCUUAGUCAUUAUUUUCACCGGUUGAUGUUUCCAUUGAGAACCCAUCAUAAAAAUUGUAUAAGUCUUCAUUUUCUUUGAUAAUCUCUUGUGCUCUUAGUUUGACUGUGGUCCAAUCAUCCACGCAUGAUUACACUUCUACUGAAUCAAGUAUUAUCCUAAAUCGAAUUUCAUCAAGUUUGUUUUCUCAUUGACUAAAAUCUUGUUCAACCGCAACAAUCGAGACUAGUGCUGCUAAAACUUAUUUUGCAAUUAGUGCAAAGGUUGGAAAUAUAUUGGCAUGACAACUCCAACAAUCUAAAAUCGGAAAGUUGUUACCUGCGAGUAACUAUUACCAAAUCAAGAACAAUGAUAAGAUAACUCUCAAGUUUAGGAAUAGAACGAGAACUGGAUCCCCUAUGUCUUUUUUGUCUUUGUAAUAAUAGAUGUUCAGCAACAUAUAUUUUUUGGUUGCCAAUGAUUGAUUAUGAACUUGAGAACAAUCAGAAGAAGUAGAUGAACCAGAAUAUUGAAUAAAUUCAGUAUAUAAAUCUAUAAUAUUUUUUUAACUUCAUUUAAUACUACAUUUACAUUAACACUAUCUUCUAUAUCAAGAUUUAAUAUUUCAUAAUAAAAAGUCAAAUAAUCAGAUAAAAUUUUAAAUUUACAUCUACGAUCAAAUACACAAGCAAUAAGAAAAAGGAAUGGUAUAUUUUUAAAAUAAACUAAUCAUUUUUGUUUUAUUAAUAAAACACAAUUUUUUAAUAAAAUAUCAUUUUCAAAUUCUGGAAAUGCACUAAUAAUAUUAAUGCAUAUAGGCAAAAAUAAAUGAGCUGUGAGAUUAUAAACCUCACUAAAAGCGUAUGUUACAUCAUUAAAAUUUUCAAAAUAUCCAAAAUUUUUGCACAAAUCUCUCAAUUUUAUAGAUAUAACUUAAUUUAUCCAACAUUGUUAGUAAAAAAUGUGCAAAAUAAUUCUCUAUAUGAAAAAGACUCGUUUAAUAAUUUAUAUAUUGUUGGACAUCUUUUGCAAAACGUUUUGGUCUUCUCUUAUUUUCCUUAUAAAAUUUAUUCCAACUUUUCAUUACUUGGAAUGUCUUGAUAAAUAUGAAAUAGAUUUUCUAAUUGGAGAAAUAAAUGAUUCAAAAACUUGUAAACCAUCUUGUACACAUAAAUUUAAAACAUGAUAUGCAUAUCUAAAAUGAAAAAAUUUUUCACCAACAUUUGGUUCAUAAAUUGCUUUAAGCUCAGUAAUUGAUUUAGUGUUGGCAAAGGAAUUAUCAAAUAAAAUUGAAAAUUUUUUUUUGGGUAAUUUAUAUUCAUCUAAAAUUGAAACAAUCAUUUUAUAUAUAUAUUAUUUGUGGUAUGUUUAUCAUCAAAAAUAUGACAUACAAUAAUUCUUUUUUGUAUUUUUCAAUCGUCAUCAAUCCAAUGACAUGUAAUACUUAUAUAAGAACGCAUUUGCCAAUAAUCAUUCCAAAUAUCACAACAAAUUGAAACAUGAAUUUUUACUUCAAAACAUAAAAGUUCUAACUCUCUUCUUCCUUUUUUUAUCUAGAGAAAUAACAGUUCGUUUUACAAUAUUUCUUGGAACUCUUUUUUUUUUUUUCUUUUGAUAGAGUAAAACUCAUAGCCUUUCAUUCAUUAUCAUUAAUCUCGGACAAACAAUGAGGAAUAUAAUUCCAGAUACGUAGAUGCGCAAAGCAAAUAGAAGCUCGAGCUAGGGUAUGAGCUUUUAAGUUCGCUUGCCUACGAAUCCAUCUACACAAAACCAAAGGGAGUUCUAAAAAAAAGUUCUCACAAUCAGAAAACAUACUCCCCCCAUCCGAUCUAAAUAAAAUAGAGGAGCUCAAAGCAAAAAAUGAAACCUGCGAGUCCAUGAAAAUAGUACCUCCACGCUCAACAUAAUUUUGCUUGAGAAAUAAUAAAAAACUACGAAGAGCUAGAGCCUCUGCAAUAAAAGGGUCCGUACCACCUGUAAAGUGGCCUGAAACUGCUCGAAUAAAAAUGCCUUCCUCUGUCUCCAUCACCACUCCAAAGCCUUGCAUGCCUUCUUGCUCAAAAACCACAAAAGCUUGCCAUGAUUGGUCUCCACUGUUGCUAAGAUGUCCGGGUUGAAAUAUUGCAAGCCUUUGCCGACUUGUAUUUGAGGAUGCACUAGCCAUGCUCCUUUGCGCCAACUUUGUAUGUUCCCAACUAAUCAUGUAUUCUUUUNNNNNNNNNNNNNNNNNNNNNNNNNNNNNNNNNNNNNNNNNNNNNNNNNNNNNNNNNNNNNNNNNNNNNNNNNNNNNNNNNNNNNNNNNNNNNNNNNNNNNNNNNNNNNNNNNNNNNNNNNNNNNNNNNAAAAAGAAGUUAGUAAAAGAAAUAUUUAUAUCACCUACUUCAUACCCCCCUUGCCUCCAAACUCCCUUAGCCUUACUACAUAACACUAUUGCAUGAUUAAUAUCCUCUUCCUCCCCACACCAAGGACAUCCAAUAUCAACCUCCACCCCUCUCCUUCUCAAUCUCUCCUUCGUAGGCAACACAUUCCUUAGAGCCCUCCACAUAAAAUCUUUGUCUUUAGGGGAAGCAUCUAAACCCCACAUCUUACCCCACCAUCCACCAUCCACCUUCCACCUCAUGCACCCUCCCCCUCAACAACCUCCUUGCCACGUAGUACCCCGACCUAACGCUAUAAAUGCCUUUUUUANNNNNNNNNNNNNNNNNNNNNNNGUUAAUACUAAUAGGAAUCCCUAAUAUAGCUCUAAACUCUCUCAAGCUAAAAAGAGUCAUCACCUUCCCCACAUCCCAUCUCCCUUCCCCCUCCACAAAAAGCUCCCUCACUUUCAUAUUAGGAUCAACAAAGUCCCUAGUGUCCUCCAUCCAAAAACUAUGAUCCAGAGGCAUCCACGGAUGUGAUAAUACACCGAUAGUUUCCCCAUUCCCUACUCUCCACCGUACCCCCUGUUUUAAUACCCCAAUAGCAACAUGAAUACUCCUCCACACAUAACUAGGACGCCUACCAAGAGGAGCAUCCAAAAAAUCCCUAUUAUGGAAAUAUUUGGCUUUGAAAAGUUUAGAAAAAAGAGCAUCGGGCUCCGUCAUAAGAUGCCACCCUUGCUUCACUAGCAUGGCCAUAUUAAAACAAUGAAGAUCCCUGAAACCCAUACCACAUUCCCUUUUGCUACAACACAUCCUCUCCCUCGCUAACCAAUGAAUCCCUCUACGCCCUCCUUUCUUCUCCCCCCACCAAUACUUGUUCAUCCUUUUUUGCAUCGCUUCACAUGUAGAAAGAGGUAUUUUAAACACACUCAUACAAUAAGUAGGAACAGCUUGCACAAUCGACUUAAUUAAUACCUCCUUUCCGACUCUAGAGAGGAAUCUGUUAGACCAAUUGCAAAUCCUUUUUUUCAAGUCUGUCCUGAAGGAAGCCAAACACCUGUUUUUUCGAUUUGCCAAUGAGAGAUGGAAGACCAAGAUAAGUACCCCCACCAAUUGAACCAGCAACAUUCAAAAUAGUAGAGAUAUUAGUCAUCAACUCUCUACUCAUAUUCGAGCUGAAAAAGAUACCCAAUUUGUUCAAAUUAAUGGCCUGACUCGAUGCUCUCUCAUAUUUCUUCAAAAUAUCAUUGACCUCCUCUGCUUCCUAUAAAGAACCCUCAAAAAAGAAAAAAGAAUCAUCCGCAAAUAGCAAGUGACAGUGAUUUUUGCAAGUGUACAAAUCACAACAAGUGAUAUAGAGUGAAAGAGUAUCGUAUCCAUAGGGAUUGUGUAUCAAGUACCAAAAUUUUGUUAACCUAUUAUUAUUUAAACGACAAUAAGAGAGAUUUGUUAUAAGGAAAGUAAAUUUGAAAAUUAAACAGAAAAUAUCAAGCAACAAAAUUUAGAUGAAAAGGAAUCAAGGAUUUAAAACUACUAGGGAAUUUGGUUUCACUUAAUUCUAUCCAAUUUAUUUUAUUAGUCUGUUAAUCAAUUUUAAUUGUUCAAGUAGGGGAAACAACCCUAGAAUCACUAACAAGCUCUCUCGAUGUAUUGUUGGCUAUUCUAAUCCGGUCUAAUUACCUAUCUUUCAAUAGCACAAUCAAACAUGAAUUAAAUCAUUAAGUUUUAUGGUUUGUUUUGUGAAUUCACAACCUAAGGUCAUUAACUUGUGAAAACCCCCCAUGAGUCAAACCGUAUAGCUUCCGCAUCAAGUUAUUGUUCUCAUGUAAUUUAUUAUCUUUUUUGUAUCAAAAACCCUUCUUCCGAUAGUGAUUAAUAAAAUAAUUCAAUCCAGGGGAAUAAACUCUGCCUGGAAGCUUUACGUUCAAUAAUAAAGUAUAGCAAGAAUAAGGAAAAGCAAAUCUAAUAAUAUAAUUUGGAAUCGAAUUAAAUUACAUCAAAUCCCUAGCUUAGGAGUUUAGCUAGACAUAGUAAUUAAAUAAAACUCAAUAAUACUUGAAUAAAUCUUCAUAAUCAGUAAUGAACAAUGAAAAUAAAAACAAGAUUAAGAGUUUAGAGAUAAAAACUAGGCAACAACUAUGUAGAUGACUUCCUUGAAUCUUUGCACAAAUCUUGGAUGCUUGAGGUCUUUUAGAGAAAGAGAAUUAUGUAGAAAAUUAUUGAAAUUCGAGAUGCCUCAUAAUGAGAAGCUCUCCUCUUUAUAUAGACCUUCUGGAGAGAAAUCUGACUUUGUUUAGGAAACAGAAUCCUAAUUAAGUACAAAAUCUUCUUUAGGAGAUCAUGACUGUUUAAGCUUUGGAUUUCUUCUUAGUUAGGACUCUUUUCUCUUCCUAAAUAGGUUUAGAUCUUGUUUAGCACGUUUAAGAAAAUAUCCGAGGCGGGCCCAUGUGAGAAAAAGAUUGGCUCGCAUUUUUAGCUUAAGACAACUCUGCCUUCAUAGCACGGGCGUGCCAUAUAGCACAACUUGGGCAUGCUAGAGUCUGGAACUAUGAAUGGUUGAGCACAGGCCAUGCUAUGCAACACGCUCAGAGGAGUCCUUGUGGCACGGGCGUGCCAUUUAGCACAGGUAAGGCGUGCUUGGCUCUGUCCUUCGAAGAUGGAUUUCAUCAUGGGCGUGCUAGGCAAGCACGCCUUGAGUUUCUUUUGGGCACGGGCGUGCCAUUUAGCACGGUCUAGCCGUGCUAUCCCCUGACUUUCCACUUGAUUUUCUUUAGCUUUAGCACGGGCGUGCUAAAAUGCACGGGAUGGGCGUGCUCAAGCCUGAGUAUUUUACUUUGUAAUGCUCUUUUCUGUGCCAAAACCCUGCAAAUUUCUUUCAGAUCAAGUGGAUUAUGAUUCAAAGAAGCUUUCAACAAAAUUAUAAUAAAAACGAAGUAAAAAUAAACUAAAGUGAUAAAUUUUACUAAAAUUCUAAAUAAAAACUAUACUAAAAAAUACUAUAAUUGUGACACCUAUCAAAAUUCCCCAAACUGAAACCAUUGCUUGUCCUCAAGCAACAAAACUAAAAGUAGGAGAACAAAAUAAUCUGACAAAACUAGCUUGCUAUGGUUGGUGAUAAUUAUAAACUCCAAAAGAUAUCACAGUUGUUAAUAUGUGAAUAAAUCAAUUGUUUUCCAUGCUAAUUAUAUUUAAGCGAAAAUUCACUAUUUUUGAUAAAACACAUUCCUUGAUUUAAACAUAAGUUAAAAGGAUUUUCAACACUAAUAUAUAUUCAACUUAUGAUAAAUAUGUUAUGAAUAAUCUACAAAAAUUAUUUAACCUUUUUAAAUAAGAUUUUUAAUAGUUUUAAAUUUAGCAUUCCCAUAUGCAAAAAUUAGUCAUCCCUUCUCCACAAUUGAAAUGCAUAUGAUUUUAAAAGAUCAAAAGGUCUUUAUUUUGGGUUGUAAUGGGGUUUUCGGGGUAUAAUUUUAGCUGAUCAAAGAAAAGGGAUAAAAGAUAGACAAAGGGUGCAAAAGAAUGUAUAAUAUCCUGAUUUCCAUUCUAUCAAAACCAUUUGUUUUAAGGGAGUUUCUGUCUUGAAAUUCUUUACUAGCUUGUGAUAUAGAGAUAUUUUGGCAAGGUCUUUUUGUAAUAUUUUGCUAAUUUCUUCUUUGCACUUAAAUUCCCUAACUUGAAUUCUUUGAUUGAUUGCUUUUUCUAUGGGGUAUUUCUCUUUUGAUAUUUCUUACUUGGUACACUUGCUAGUGUCCAUGAAAUUUUCUCCCUUUUGUCGCUAUGUUUUAAUGAAAGCCAAAUCCUUCAAUUAUACAUUAUUGCACUCAGGGUAAGAAUUGAAAUUGGUUUAAUGGCUAGGUUUAAUAAGGGUGAACAAGAAAAUUUUAUAGGCUUCAAAAUUGGUUGCAAAAGUCAUAUUUUNNNNNNNNNNNNNNNNNNNNAAAUAUGAAGUUCAACAAAGAAUGUCUAAAUCAUCUCUUUCUAAAUGUAAGCAUUUAAAAUUUUUGCCUCAAAGGGAGUUCUAAUUUGUUCUAGGAAUGCCAAGGUUAUAUAAGUUUAGAUUAAACAUGCCUAUAUAUCAUAAAUUUCAUAAAAAUUAGUGUUUAUAAUCUUAGAAACAUAUAGUUAAAUCAAUGAAUCAUGUUAAGUCAAAAAUUUCAAAUUUAGAACUUAAGUAUACUAGAAUAGAAAAUCAACUAAAUUCAUCACAUAUUACUAAUUCGUGACAACCUUCAAGCCUGCUUAUAAUCAUUCUAACCAUGUUAAGCAAAAAUAAAAUUUUAGCUAAAAUUUCCUUCCCCCAAUUUAAUCAAACACAUUGUCCCCAAUGUGUACAAAAUAAAUUGAUUUCCCCAAACUUAUUGCAUUAACAGAAGAAAAGAGAUAAGAAAGUGGAGUAAACAUUACCAAAAUUGUAUUGAAAAAUACAAUAGAGCUGGGUGCUGGAACAUGUCAUAGCUAAAAGUCCAAAAUAAACAUUAAGAGAAAAAAACUACUAAAGAUAUAAUAGUCAAAGUAAAAUCAAAAGAAAAAUUCAACACAAAACAAUCAAUGUAUGGGAAUAAAAUCAAAACAGGAAGAACAAAUAAAGAGUCAAAAUCCAUCAAGGCUCCGGUGGUGGAGGUGGAUGCGGUUGUUAGAGCUGGAUAACAGUCUGGAGUUGGCCUUGCAAUGUAUCCAUACGAGACUCGAGGCUCCCAUGCAUAAUCUCGAUGGAUUGGAAACGGUCUACAAUCAUAAAUUCCAUCCCGUUAAGGCAUGUGUCAAAUAUGUUCAUUCGAGACAUCAUCCUCGCAAGGACUUCAUCGUUGGACAUGCUUGACGCUCCUUGAAAGGAUGGACCAGCACCGAAAGUACCUGCACCAAAAGAAGAACCAAAAGGCGGCGGAUUAUCCUCCUCCACAUCAGCACCACCUGCUGCCUCGGCUUCCUCAUCGUCAGAACUGUCCUCUCAAGCACCUACUACCCGAUAAGCAUCUCCAACCUUUUCGAUCAAUUUCAUGUGGAUCAUGACAUCCAAAUCUAAUCUGGUAACCUUCCCCCCUCCAACACUAUCAUAGAUUGGUCUAGCCGGGUUCCAGACUCGAAAAUACGCAGCAAUGCGGGUCACAAAACACCCUAUCAUGAUAGCCCCUUUAUCUGCUCUAGCCACCUUUGCACAUCUUUGGCAUAGCCAAUACCCAACAUUAAGCAAAACUCCCUGUUCAAUCGCCUAUAUAAAGUAUAAUACAUUCAAGCCUAAAACUUCAUCACUUUCACUCCUUCCAAAAAUAGUGUUAGACAAGAAUGUGUGAAUCUGCCUUAGGGCAGGAUUUCUUAGUUUGGAUGCCUUUGAAUACCUAGGGUUGUAAUUAAUUUCAUCGGUCAAGUCUUUCCAUUAUUGCGUUCAUGAAAAUCCUUAGAUAUUUGGAUUUGAGCGUUUUCCGUGGGGAAUCCAAAAAUAUGGCUAACUUCAUUCACAGAUAAAUCAAAAGUUCUACCAAGAAGCCUAAAGUGAAUUUUGCUUGGGGGAGAGGUAGGCAAAAAUCGAAUGAAAGAGGAAUAAGAACUCAAAAAUUCUAAAGUUAAAGGUGCAUAAACUAGAUCCUUCAUCUCAAUAAACUAUCCCCAUCCUAUAUGCCUAAGUGGUUCUAUCACAGCAUCUCGAAGACCGACUUGCGCUAAGGAAUUUUCAUCAAUGAAUUUAUUGGGAAAAAUAGAGCGAAGGGAUAGUUUAUUGUACCUCUCUUGUUGCUCAGGUGAAGCGAUCUCAAAUGGAGGAGGAGUAGGCGUCGAAGGAGGUGGAAUCGGUAGAGGAGUAGUGGAGGGUCAAGCGAUUGGCCGUUGUCUAGCGGCAACCGAGGAAGCGGGUCUGCUACGCUUGUAUCGAGGAGGCAUGGUGAAGGAGAACGGUGUAAAAAUUUGGUAUGUAGUGUGUUUGAUUUGAGAGAAAAGGGAGAAAAAGAGAGAAAAUUAAAGAGAAAAUUGGGAGAGGAGAGGUUGACGGCUAGGGCGUGCGAGAGGGAAGUGAGGGUUGGUUAGGGCAUGCGCUUUAAAUAGAGGCGCCAUUUAAUGCGCACGUCUGGUCGUGGCACGGGUGUGCUCCUUGGUACGGGCGUGCUCCUUGGCACGGCCAGACCGUGCGCGCUAAUCUUGUUUGGAGGCGGUUAGGGCACGGGCAUGCUAGAGGACACGCUUGGGGCUGGAGGACACGCUUGAGGCGUGCUUGCUUUUGUCCUGCAACAGAAAAAAAAUGAAGCAUACCUGGCACGGUUAGGGCAUGCUCGCCUCUAACUCUCAAAGCAAAAUUUCCCUUCGGAUCGCACGGGCGUGCUACUGGACACGCCUGGGGCGUGCUUGCCUCUGACUCUCAAAGUGGUUUUUCUCCAUUCAUGAGGCACGGGCGUGCUGUGGUGCACGGUCAGGGUGUGCCCGCCUCUGACUCUCUAAGCAAAAUUGGUUUUUAUGGCACACGGGCGUGUCCUGGGACACAGUCUGGGCAUGCUUAGCUAUCAUAUCAUGGCACAGGCGUGCCAUUUAGCACGUCCAGGGCGUGCUGACCUGUGGAUUUUAACUUGAUCCUGAAAAAUUCUGACUAAAGCAAAAGAACAAUUAUGGCGAAAAUUUGGGAAAUUUUAUAAUAGAAAUAAUAGAAAUAAAAUGGAAACAAUAAUUGGAAAAAGAAAGAAAACAACAUGGGUUGUCUACCACAAGCGCUUUUGUUUUAACGUCGUUUAAGCUCGAUGUACUCAACCUAGUUUAGGUCAGACGAGACUGAUGGUAUUCUUGAUAGGAUCAAAGUUGUCAUUUUGAUAAACUUUUAAUCUUUGAGCAUUAACUUUGAAACUUCGAUUAGACUUACCAUCCACUAUUUUGAUGCCUCAUGUGGAAAAAUCUCUUUAAUUGUGAAUGGACCAGACCAUCUGAAGUGCAAUUUACAAGGAAAAAGGUGGAGUCUGGAGUUAUAGAGCAAUACCUGUUGGCCUACUUUUAGAUUCCUCAUGAUAAUGUGCUUAUCGUGCCAUUGUUUGGUGAAAUCCUUAUAUAUUUUGGUGCUCUCAUAAGCAUGGAGGUGCAUUUUAUCCAUCAUAUUCAAUUGUAGCAACCGUUUUUGACCAGCCUCUUUUGCAUUGAAGUUAAGAAAUUGAAUUGCCCAAAAUGCCUUAUGCUCUAAUUCAACAGGAAGAUGACAAGUCUUACCGUAAACCAUGCAAUAUGGAGACAUACCGAUUGGUGUCUUGAAUGCAGUUCUGUAAGCCCAUAGAGCAUCAUCUAGCUUCUUGGACCAGUCCUUCCUUGAUUGUCCAACAGUUGUCUCCAGGAUCUUCUUGAUUUCUCUGUUGGUAACCUCUACUUGUCCACUUGUUUGAGGAUGAUAUGGAGUGCCUACACGAUGAGUAACACCAUAUUUUGCAAGAAGGGAAUCUAAAUAUUUGUUGCAAAAGUGCUUACCUCCGUCCGUGAUUAUUGCUCUAGGAGUGCCAUGACGUGUAAAAAUAUACUUCUUGAUAAACUUCAUUACACUCUUGGCAUCAUUGUUUGGAAGAGCAACAGCUUCUGCCCACUUUGAUACAUAGUCCAUCGCAACUAGAAUGUAUUGGUUGGAGUAUGAUGAUGGAAAAGGCCCCAUGAAGUCCAUACCACAAACAUCGAAGAUUUCGACUUCAAGGAUGCUAUUUAAGGGCAUCUCAUGUCUCUUCGAAAUGUUACCUAGUCUUUGACAGCGAUCACAAAGGCGAACAAAGUUAAAGGCAUCUUUAAACAGGUUACGCCAAUACAAACCGCUUUCUAAUAUACGUGCUACUGUCUUGUUUGCUCCAAAGUGUCCUCCACAUUCCAUUGAAUGGCAAAAUUUAAGAACACUUUCCAUCUCUGUUUACGGUAUGCAUCACCGGAAUAGCUGAUCACUAUAAUAUUUGAACAGAAAGGGCUCCUCCCAAUAGUAGUAUUUGAUAUCAUGGAAGAAUUUUUUCUUUUGUUGAUAGGAAAAGUUGGGAGGGGGAAUUUUGCAAACAAGGUAGUUGACUAUAUCAGCAUACCAGGGGGUUUGUGUAUUUGCCAACAGUAGAAGUUGCUCAUGGGGAAGGUUCUCAUUGAUUUGUAACUCUGUUGUAUCUUCUUCCCCCAAUUCCAGCCUGGAAAGGUGGUCAGCCACAAGAUUUUUGGUUCCCUUUUUGUCGAGAAUUUUCAGAUCAAAUUCCUGCAAUCAAGGCACCCAACGAAUUAGUCUCGGUUUUGCAUCUUUCUUUUCUAGCAAAUAUUUGAUNNNNNNNNNNNNNNNNNNNNNNNNNNNNNNNNNNNNNNNNNNNNNNNNNNNNNNNNNNNNNNNNNNNNNNNNNNNNNNNNNNNNNNNNNNNNNNNNNNNNNNNNNNNNNNNNNNNNNNNNNNNNNNNNNNNNNNNNNNNNNNNNNNNNNNNNNNNNNNNNNNNNNNNNNNNNAACAGCUCCAAUAGCAUGAUCACUAGCAUCACACAUAAGCUCAAAAGGAAGAGUCCAAUCUGGUGUAGUAAUGAUAGGUGCUGAGAUCAACUCCUUCUUUAACCUAUUAAAAGCAUUCAAACACUCUUUGUCAAAAUUAAAAGGAACAUCUUUAAUUAAUAAAUUACAAAGAGGUUUUGUGAUUUUUGAGAAGUCUUUGAUGAAUCUCUUGUAGAAUCCUACAUGACCAAAAAAAAUUUCUUAUUCCCUUCACUGAGUUAGGGGGAGGUAGUUUUUUAAUUACCUCGAUUUUUGCUUUGUCUACUUCAAUCCCCUUUUGAGAGAUCUUAUGNNNNNNNNNNNNNNNNNNNNNNNNNNNNNNNNNNNNNNNNNNNNNNNNNNNNNNNNNNNNNNNNNNNNNNNNNNNNNNNNNNNNNNNNNNNNNNNNNNNNNNNNNNNNNNNNNNNNNNNNNNNNNNNNNNNNNNNNNNNNNNNNNNNNNNNNNNNNNNNNNNNNNNNNNNNNNNNNNNNNNNNNNNNNNNNNNNNNNNNNNNNNNNNNNNNNNNNNNNNNNNNNNNNNNNNNNNNNNNNNNNNNNNNNNNNNNNNNNNNNNNNNNNNNNNNNNNNNNNNNNNNNNNNNNNNNNNNNNNNNNNNNNNNNNNNNNNNNNNNNNNNNNNNNNNNNNNNNNNNNNNNNNNNNNNNNNNNNNNNNNNNNNNNNNNNNNNNNNNNNNNNNNNNNNNNNNNNNNNNNNNNNNNNNNNNNNNNNNNNNNNNNNNNNNNNNNNNNNNNNNNNNNNNNNNNNNNNNNNNNNNNNNNNNNNNNNNNNNNNNNNNNNNNNNNNNNNNNNNNNNNNNNNNNNNNNNNNNNNNNNNNNNNNNNNNNNNNNNNNNNNNNNNNNNNNNNNNNNNNNNNNNNNNNNNNNNNNNNNNNNNNNNNNNNNNNNNNNNNNNNNNNNNNNNNNNNNNNNNNNNNNNNNNNNNNNNNNNNNNNNNNNNNNNNNNNNNNNNNNNNNNNNNNNNNNNNNNNNNNNNNNNNNNNNNNNNNNNNNNNNNNNNNNNNNNNNNNNNNNNNNNNNNNNNNNNNNNNNNNNNNNNNNNNNNNNNNNNNNNNNNNNNNNNNNNNNNNNNNNNNNNNNNNNNNNNNNNNNNNNNNNNNNNNNNNNNNNNNNNNNNNNNNNNNNNNNNNNNNNNNNNNNNNNNNNNNNNNNNNNNNNNNNNNNNNNNNNNNNNNNNNNNNNNNNNNNNNNNNNCAGGCUUGCAGUCUUCUUCCAUCAGGAUCUUAUGCAUGCAUAUACUCGGGCUUAUCCCUUGUAGGUCUGAAAUUGACCACCCUAGUGCUUUCUUGUGCUUUCGAAAAACCUGCAACAACCUUUCCUCUUGAUCAAGCGUUAAGUGAGAAGAAAUAAUAACAGGAAAAGAAUGAUUCUCACCUAAGAAUGCAUGUUUUAAAUGAGGUGGAAGUUGUUUCAGUUCUUGUUUUGGAGGUUCACUUUCUUUCUCAUUCAUGGUGUUUGAUUCAUUAAUGUCAUCUUUAGUAUGCAAAGUGGUUUCCACACAUUCAUCAACAACAUCAAUUCGAAAGCAAUCAUUAUAGUCCAUANNNNNNNNNNCGAUUUAAGAACAUCAAAGACAAUCUCUUCCUGUCCAACCCUUAAAGUUAAUUUACCUUCGUAAACAUCAAUAAAUGCUCUUGCAGUUGCAAGAAAAGGCCUCCCAAGGAUUAGAGAUCCUUCCCUNNNNNNNNNNUCAAUGUCAAGAAUAACAAAAUCAACAGGAAAGAUGAAUGUACCUACCUUUACAAGCACAUCUUCUACAAUUCCUCUAGGAUAUUUGAUCGAUCGAUCCACUAAUUGUAGAGACAUCCUUGUUGGUUUGAAUUCUCCCAUACUUAGCAUCUUAAAAACUUCAUAAAAUAUAAGAUUAAUGCUAGCACCUAAAUCUACCAAAGCUUUUUCAAAGUCAAGAUUACCAAUAUUGCAAGGGAUAGAAAAACUUCCUGGGUCAUUCAACUUUGGAGGCAGUUUAUUUUGGAUAAUCACACUGCAUUCCUAAGUUAACAUUACCGUUCCUUGAUCAUCGAUUUUUCAUUUCUUGCUUAGGAUAUCUUUUAGGAAUUUCGCAUAGUUAGGCAUUAGAGCAAGAGCUUCAGCAAAAGGAAUGUUGAUUUGAAGCUUUUUGAAUACAUCCAUAAACUUUAGGAAGCUCUUGUCAUCUUGUGCUUUCUUUAACCUUUGUAGGAAGGGGACAGGUGGAACAUAGGGUUUUACUUUUUCUUGUUCUUCUAGGUCAAUAAUGGGGACCUUUGGCUGUUCUUCCACGUCCUUUUCUUUCUUUGGUGGCUCUUCUAUUUGUUUGCCACUUCUCAGCGUGAUAGCCUAUACCUGCUCUUUAGGAUUCUUUUCAGUGUUGCUAGGUAAUGUACCUUAAGGUCGAGAUGCCAUCAUGUGUGCAAAUUAUCCUAGCUGAAUCUCCAGAUUUCUUAUCGCCGCCUGUUGGAUUUUAUGGUUUUCUCUAAUUUCAUUCAUGAAAUCCAUAUGUGAUUUAGAAAGAGCAGUGAGGAGGUCAUCAUAAGAUUUCUUCUCUUGAGGAAGGAAACCUGGUGUUGUGUUCAAGGCAUUGUUAGGAUUUCCAUAGGAUAGAUUAGGACGGUUCCUCAAUCUAUUAUCGUAUGAAUUGGAGUAUGGGUAAUUUUUUCUUCCUUGAUUCAUCACAUAGUUUACUUACUCCAAGGAUUGUGGAUUCAAAGAGUCUAUCAUGCAUUCUCCAAUCCCAUAUUGUCCAUUGCACCUAUCACAAACUUGCAUAAUAGAAUUUACAGGAUUGGUAGUUAACAGGUCCAGUUUUCUUACCAUGUUAUCUACCUUGGCAUUAAGUGCUGUGAUAGCAUCUAUUUCAUAGACUCCUGCAGUUCUCUUCCUUUUGAAAUUGUUUUGGUAAUUGCUGUUGCUUGCCAUCUCCUCUAUCAAUUCAUAUGCCUCAUCAAUUCCCUUCUUCUCAAAGGAUCCUCCUGCAGCUACAUCUAAAGUGAUUUUGAUAUUAGGAGAUAAUGCAUUAUAGAAAGUUUGUACCUGUGAGCACUUAGGCAAACUAUGAUGUGGGCACUUUCUUAACAAGUCCUUGAAUCUUUCCCAAGCUUCAUACAAGCUCUCUUGAUCAUGGUGACCAAAUGUCAUUAUCUCAUUGCGCAGUUUUGUGGUUUUUGAAUAUGGGAAGAAUUUUGCUAAGAACCUUUGGGCUAAUUCUUCCCAUGUUGUGAAACUUCCAGCGGGGCAUGAUUGUAACCAAGACCGCGCCUUGUCCCUAAUAGUGAAAGGAAAAAGUCUUAAUUUAAUUGCAUCUUCGGAAACACUAUUCUAUUUGAAAGUAUCACAAAUUUCCAGGAAAUUUGUGAUAUGAGCAUUUGGAUCUUCACUAGGCAAACCCCCAUAUUGGAUUGAGGUGGAAAGCAUUUGGAUAAUUGCGGUUUAAUUUCAAAAUUAUUAGCUUCCACCCUAGAUCUUAUAAUACUCGAGGUUGUCCCAUUAAGAUUAGGUGUUGUGUAGUCUCGCAAGGUGCGAAUUGGAUGUUGAGGUGGAGGUCCAUUCAUGUUCUCGUUUUUGUUCUCGUUGACCAUGUCUACUUGUUGUUCGGGUUUUAUUUCACGUGCUCUUCUUGCAGCAUUGUUCCUAUGAUAAGUUCUUUCAAUUUUUGGAUCAAAGACUAGAGGUUCAGUCCUUCUUGAUCUUCUUUGCAUAAACACCUGAAAAUAAUUCUUAGAAGAAAAGAUAAAUUUAAAACAAAAGAAUGUCUAAAUUAACAAUAGGGUAAUUAGUAUUGAUAUUGACAACGGCAAUCCCCGGCAAUGGCGCCAAGAACUUGAAAGUAAUUUUCGCAAGUGUACAAAUCGCAACAAGUGAUAUAGAGUGAAAGAGUAUCGUAUCCACAGGGAUUGUGUAUCAAGUACCAGAAUUUUGUUAACCGAUUAUUAUUUAAACGACAAUAAGAGAGAUUUGUUAUAAGGAAAGUAAAUUCGAAAAUUAAACAGAAAACAUCAAGCAACAAAAUUUAGAUGAAAGGGAAUCAAGGAUUUAAAACUACUAGGGAAUUUGAUUUCACUUAAUUCUAUCCAAUUUAUUUUAUUAGUCUGUUAAUCAAUUUUAAUUGUUCAAGUAGGGGAAACAACCCUAGAAUCACUAACAAGCUCUCUCGAUGUAUUGUUAGCUAUUCUAAUCCGGUCUAAUUACCUAUCUUUCAAUAGCGCAAUCAAACAUGAAUUAAAUCAUUAAGUUUUAUGGUUUGUUUUGUGAAUUCACAACCUAAGGUCAUUAACUUGUGAAAAUCCCCCAUGAGUCAAACCGUAUAGCUUCCGCAUCAAGUUAUUGUUCUCAUAUAAUUUAUUAUCUUUUUCGUAUCAAAAACCCUUCUCCCGAUAGUGAUUAAUAAAAUAAUUCAACCCAGGGGAAUAACUCUGCCUGGAAUCUUUAAGUUCAAUAAUAAAUUAUAGCAAGAACAAGGAAAAGCAAAUCUAAUAUUAUAAAUUGGAAUCGAAUUAAAUUACGUCAAAUCCCUAGCUUAGGAGUUUAGCUAGACAUAGUAAUUAAAUAAAACUCAAUAAUAAUUGAAUAAAUCUUCAUAAUCAGUAAUGAACAAUGAAAAUAAAAACAAGAUUAACAGUUUAGAGAGAAAAACUAGGCAACAACUAUGUAGAUGACUUCCUUGAAUCUUGGUACAAAUCUUGGAUGCUUAAGGUAUUUUAGAGAGAGAGAAUUAUGUAGAAAAUUAUUGAAAUUCGAGAUGCCUCACAAUGAGAAGCUCUCCUCUUUAUAUAGACCUUCUGGAGAGAAAUCAGACUCUGUUUAGGAAACAAAAUCCUAGUUAAGUACAAAAUCUUCUUUAGGAGAUCAUGACUGUUUAGGCUUUGGAUUUCUACUUAGUUAGGACUCUUUUCUCUUCCUAAAUAGGUUUAGAUCUUGUUUAGCACGUUUAGGAAAAUAUCUGAGGCGGGCCCAUGUGAGAAAAAGAUUGGCUCGCGUUUUUAGCUCAAGUCAGCUCUGCCUUCAUAGCAAGGGCGUGCCAUAUAGCACGGCUUGGGCGUGCUAGAGUCUAGAACUAUGAAUGGUUGAGCACAGGUCGUGCUAUGCAACACACUCAGAGGAGUCCUUGUGGCACGGGCGUGCCAUUUAGCAUGGGUAAGGCGUGCUUGGCUCUGUCCUUCGAAGAUGGAUUUCAUCAUGGGCGUGCUAGGCAAGCACGCCCUGAGUUUCUUUUGGGCACGGGCGUGCCAUUUAGCACGGUCUAGCCGUGCUAUCCCCUGACUUUCCACUUGAUUUUCUUUAGCUUUAGCAUGGGAUGGGCAUGCUCAAGCCUGAGUAUUUUACUUUGUAAUGCUCUUUUCUGUGCCAAAACCCUACAAAUUUCUUUCAGAUCAAGUGGAUUAUGAUUCAAGGAAGCUUUCAACAAAAUUAUAAUAAAAACGAAGUAAAAAUAAACUAAAGUGAUAAAUUUUACUAAAAUUCUAAAUAAAAACUAUACCACAAAAUACUAUAAUUGUGACACCUAUCAGCAAGUGUGUGAUGCUCGGAUAAUUCCUUCCCACCUUCACACCUUGCAAUCUACCUCUCCUUUUAGCAUCCUGAAAUAAUAAAGACAAACCCUCCGCACAGAAUAAAAACAAGUAAGGCGACAAAGGAUCGCCCUGUCUCAAACCUCUACCAGGACGAAUAGGGCCCACCUCCUUACCAUUCAAUAACACAGAGUACUUCACAUCAGUUACACAUAACAUCAUCCACUUCACCCACUUCUCACAAAAACCCAUUCUCAGCAUCAUACCCCUCAAAAACUCCCAAUUAACCCUGUCGUAUGCUUUUGAAAUAUCAAUUUUUAAAGCACAAGCACCCCCUUGAUUCUUCUUACUUUUGAUGUUAUGAAUUAAUUCAAAAGCCACCACCACAUUAUCAGAAAUUAACCUCCCAGGAACGAAUGCGGAUUGACAUUCAUCAAUAAUUAAAGGAAGAAUUUUUUUUCAACCUAUUCACUAAAGAUUUUGCUACAAUUUUAUACAAAACAUUACAAAGCGAAAUAGGUCUAUACUCUUUUAACGACUUAGGAUUAUCACAUUUAGGAAGCAACACAAUAUGGGUAUCUGUCAAAGUCUUUGGGAAGGUACCAGUGUCAAGCCAUUGUUUGCAGUCCUUCCAAAUAUCAUCUCCAAUCACAUGCCAAAAUUUUUGAAAGAACGUCGAAUUUAUGCCAUCUGGUCCAGGUGAUUUGUCAGGUUGUAUAUCAAAUGCAGCUUCUCUGAUCUCAUCCAACGUAAAUGGAGCCGUAAGAAUAUUGUUCUGGAUAGCUGUCACCUUUGGUUGAACAAAAUUAAAAAUUUCAAUGCAAACUGAUUCUUCUGCACUAUAAACAGUGGAAAAAUAAUUCAAUGUAAGUUGUUCCAAACUAUCAUUAUCUGUAACUAUCUCGCCAUCCUCAUUUUCCAACUUCAUAAUUUUAUCUCUCCUUUUUCUAGUCUUUAUUGAAGCAUGUAAAUAUUUGGUGUUUUGGUCCGCACAAGAAAGCCAUCUCUGUUUCCCUAUUUGUCUCAUUCGGCACUCUUCUUUGAAUAGAAUAAUAUUCCAUUCAUUUUUUAGUCGUUGAACAUUGACAUCAUCAAACCCAUCUCUUGCCUCUUCUAUACGUUGCUUUAAUACCCUUUUUAAAACUUUUAGUAGAAUGAUUUAAAACUUUUUGACAAUAUUGAUUAAACUCAUUUUUUCACCAAAACUAAAAGAUAUAUAUUCCAUAGAAAUCAUUUUAGCUAAUUCUUUUUUUUAAAUUUUUUUUUAGAAUAUUGAAAUAAGGAAACGUUAGAAGAUUUGUAUCCGAAAAUUUGUGUUUGAGCUCGAUCAACUCAUAUUUUGUCAGAUGUUUUGCCUCCAAAUGCUUCCAAAAUGAUCCACAACCACCCGCUUGUUUAUGUUUGUAAGAUGCUCCACAAUAAUCAAAUUACAUAAAAAAUUUAUCGCUUUUAAAUUUCUUCGUGAAAUGAAUAGCUAAUAUGUUGAAACUUUGUCUUGGUCGUCGAACAACUUAUGUACCUUGACUUCUUCUUGUCGUAAGUUGCCUUCAUCAUUAAAUUCGGUUAUAGAGUAAUAUAGAGUAGAGAGUAGUAGAGUGUAGAGAGAUAAUUUUGUGUAAAGUGAUUAUAAAUUAAAAAGGGGUAUUUAUAGUAAAUCCAAAAAAUCAACUUUUCAAAAAUACCCUUAAAACUAGUCAUUAUAUAGCCAUCUAUAGUUGUUAGGAGGGUAAAUUUGGGGAUUUCACAAAAAUAUUUGAAAAAAUUAAAAAAAGCUUUACACUUAAAUAUUCAAAUUUUUUUGGAACUGCUAGAUCGAAUAGUCGAUUCUAACCAGAUGGAAAAAUCGCCGGUUCCGACCAGUUCACAGUUCCUCAUAAAUUGGAAUUAGAAUCGGACCGCAGACCCUCGAUUUUGGUUCCUCACGUUUCGAUUUUGGUUCCCACUGAUUCCAAACCGGCGGUUUUGAUUUUGAAAACCUUGAAAUGGCUACCCCUAUAUUGAACUGAAGGCCAAUAAAGAAUAGGCUCUCCAAUACUAGAAAUUCAUCCAACCUUAAAACUUACGAUUUUGUUUAGUAAUUCUAAAUGAAGUACAAUGUAAUAUCAUUAAAAUUAGAGAGACUAGUGACUAAUGUGUCUCUCCAAAUGUAUGAUGGCCUCAGUUUUAGGUAUGGUUUGAUUAGAGACUCAACCAGAGCUUUCUUGAACGGUUAAGAGCUUGUUAUGGAAAGUCUUCUAUUUUUGGAGCUGAGUUAUGGUCUAUCUUUGAGGGUUUCACACUGCUUUAUUUCAGAGGUUUAACCAUAUUCUUAUGUAAUAGACAUCCAUUUAUAUUAAUGACUAAACUGUAAUAUGCCAAGGACUUAAGUUGUAAUAAGAACUGGGGAAAUUGAUAACUUGUCAAGAUAGACUUGGAUAUUAGGAGAUUUUCUCUCCUAAUAUCUCGCUCAGUUUGGUAUAUGCCACCAAUCAUGUAUCUUUCCAUAUAAACCAGUCUUUAAGGCCACGGGAAGAUUAAUGUCAUUAUUAUCAAUAUAAUUAUUUGUAGAGAAAUCAAUCAUUCAUUCAAUUAUUGUUGUGAUAAUUUUAACAAAAUCAAAUUGGUGCAGUGAGCGUGGAACACACCUCACAUUUCUCAGUUUGAGAAAAACCUCAUUUUUUAACAAAAAUAUAUAUAAGACAAUUUCAAGCAUUUGAACAAUCACCAACGCAGAUAGAUGAACCCCCACAGCUGGAGCUAACGAGACUGGUAGGACUAAACCUUCAAUUGGCCCAAUUGCUCAGGCUCUUCUAAUUUCGCUUUAUUGGAACCUUAAGCCACUAUGAUGCUAGCCUAAGCACACAAUAACUUUAUAGUUGUGCUAUAACGAUCGAUGGCCACUUCAGGACCCCUGGUGUUGCAAGUAUCCACGGAUGAUCUGAUAACGUGAAGGCGUGGCAAUGUUGCUAUGGAGGAAGGAGUUGCUGUAGACAAGCAAAUAAUGGAUAUGCCCCAGGACACCGAAUCAUCUUGGUGUUCUGAUACUUAGAAAGAAUGAUAACACAUUGUGCAAUCCAUUUGGGAAACCUCUACAACAUCACUGAGGAUGACUUCCAAACAAGAACCCUUCAAGUCCUCCAAGUUAAAAUUGCAAAGGAUAAUACUGAUUAUGGGCUAAGAAACAAUUCCCCCCUCAAACAUCAUGCCAGUAAACUUUCCACCAAAAUUGAAGAUGCUUAUCUUUAAGACAUAUGAUGGAACAACUGAAUCGAGGAGUCAACUAGCUAAUUUUAAAAUAGUGAUGCGUAUCCAGACCAGUGUGGAUGCAUUGCUAUGCUUAACUUAAGAUUGGUUCCAGAUACUAAAGAAAAGAUCAAUCAAUUCCUUUCACACCUAGUUGCCUCAUUCAAAGCUUAGUUUAUCACCUAUAUACGGAGCAAGAAGAUCUCAUCAGUCCUUAUUAAUCUUAAGAGAAUAGAGGAUGAGUCAUUGAGACAUUGCCUAUCCAUAUUCCAAAAGCUGGGUAUAAAAGUGGAAGAUCUAAACUCUAAAUCGCCUUUAGUUCCAUGGCAAAAACUAUAAGUAUGGUAAACUAUUUGACUCCCUUAAUAUUGAUCAACCAUAUUCUUUUUCAGAGUUGAUGGCGAUGGUGAAUAACUUUGCAAGACUAGACAAGGCCUGGAGGGCUCGGCAAGCCCAAGCCAAAGGCACCAAGGAAAAGAGAAGGAAAAAAAAUAAAAUAAAAGGAGGUCGCCAUCAAGUCUAGCAAACUGAGUCAUUCAAGUAUGAGUUAUUCCGCUUGUACCCCAUAUUCAAGAGUUAGAGACUAUAAUAAGAGAGGAAGAUUUCAGUCCCUUAGUUAGGAGCAGCUCAACCAUAUCGAGGAGUAUGCAGAAGAAAAAGGAUGAGAUCCAAAUUAACUAUCCUAAGAAAUUGAGAGAGGAGUCAGCAGCUUACAGUGACUACCUAAAUUAUACACAUAGAUAUCCAAGCCAGACUUGAAAAAUCCACCAAAACAGACUUGAAUUGGACGAACCAAAAUUAGUGUGAAAUCGACAGGCAAGUUACAUUAAUUCGCCCAUAAUUCUCUCUACAAAAUGAAUUUUAAGGCAAGGAACCGACAAAAACUAGACAGCAAAACUUUCCAACAGUAUAUCACAGGCAAAAAUUGAAGCUAAAACGAGCCAUGAACCGACUAAAUCAAGUGAAGGAUCAUACCGAGGUAGAAAAGACCAACUGGCUGAUCAACAUAGUCUGACCAAUGCUCAAGGUCGGUCGGUCGACCCUGAUUGCUGGUCAACCCCAGUUGGCUAGGUUUGACUAUUGUGAACACCUAAAUUCUAUACUCUGGAUAUCCAAACCAGACCUAAAAAUUCAUCAAAUUGGACAUAAAUCAAACGAACCAAAAUCUGGGCAAAAACAGACCGACAAUUUGCAUUGAUUCAGCCAUAAUCCUUUUCAAAGUGGGAAUUUCAAGAAAAGGUUAGUGUCAAUGGAAGCUAGACUAGAAGAAUUUUUCAACAGUAUAUUACAGGCCGAAAUUGGAAUUGAAUUGGGCCUCGAACGAAACGAAUCCAAACGAAAAAAAGACUGUAAAAGCCGAAAAUUGCACUAGACUGGCGGCUAGUUGCUUGGCUGUGGUGCUCUGGCGAGGUCCUAAGAGACAUAAUUUUCUUCUCUUAACUUUUAUCAUGAGGAUGUAAGACCUCAAACUGUCAAAUUUCAAGUUUAAAUUUUAAAUUCGCUAUUCCUAAAUUUGGUAUUAAAUUAAUAAAUUGGGAUGAUUAUUUCAACACUGAAUAGUAUAUCUAAUUAAUCCUAAAAUAGACAAUGAUAAAUUUUUGACUUAAACGAAUUGGUUAUAUAAGGAUGUUAAAAAUAAAAAUUUUAAUUAAUAAACCAAGUUUUAGCUAAACAUAAUCUCUUGGUUAUUGUUAUUACUAUAGCUAAUUAGAUUAUCGAACUAUUGAGUAAUGCAUGCUUAAGAAUACUAAUUUAGGAUUAGUAAAUUAAUUAGUAUGCUUUAUAGUGGAAGAAUAUGUGUGCAUAUACUAUACAUAGACUGUGAAUGUCCAUAUAAUUCUUUCUUUUUCUUUCAUUCUUUCAUUUAUAAAUUGUUAUGAGGUAUUAAAAUGUUGGUGACAAAGUUGAGUUGGAUUAGAAACUGAAUUGAUAUCCUACUAUUUGGGGAGAUGCUAUCCAAUUUUGAAAAUAUUUAUAGAUAACUAUUUUAGUUAUAUAUAUUCCAUAGACCUUAAUUACCAAGAGAACUAGAAGCUUCAUUACUGUUAUCAUUGUUAUAACUAAAGAAUCUGGUAGGUGACACAGGUAAUAGUUAUGAAUUAGAAUAAAUAAAGAAAUAAAGAAAAUUGUAAUUGAAUAGUUUGAUAAGUGAAGGUAAAUAACUAUAGUGAUUGUAACUAGUUAAUGAAUUAGAACUAAAUUUCUCGAGUUAGAAAUUUUUACUUAGAAUUUCCUUUCUACAUGCUUAUAGAGUUCUAGAAUGGCACGUCGAUAGCUUGAAAUGGGCAGUAAUAAAGAUAGUAUUGUUAGGACAAUAAUAAACUGUGAGUAGAGUUAGAUAAUCCUCAUUGCUUAUGCAUUGUACAUUCAUGCAUAUAUAAAUAAUACUUUAACUAUGUAAAAUAUGCAUACAUAUAGAAAUUACAUAUAGCUAUGUAUUUCAUGUUUUGUACCGAAUAUAUAUUUAUAUAUUACAAUAUAUGGGUAUGCUUUAUACUAUGUUCUCUGUUGAAUAUGUGAAAUUCUGUGAUUGGAUAUGAUUUGUUUUUGUUGUGCCGUGGAGUUAGAAUAAUGUGGGUCAUCUUGGGGUGAGAGCAUGAGUAUAUAUAUGGUGAGAAUACUAUCAGUGAGCUGUAAGCGGAUGGAGUGGCACCUCCUGUGCACUCCUCGAUUUUGAUGCACAUCAAUGAUAAAAAAACAUUAUAUAAGUGCCCGAUAAGGUCUACUCCUUAAGUGCACUUGACACAAAGAUUGGUAGAUUUACUAAUUCCAGAACAUUAUAUAAAGCAUGCUUUGGGGGUGAGCAUGAUCCUUAUUUAUAAAGGGACACUGCAGACUAAUAUGUAUUGUUUGAUCACUUGAACUCUUGUGAAUUAUUUGAUACGUACGCAUUCAUACUCGCUUGUUCAUUCAUGAAUAGCAGGACGGCUGUAAAUAAAUUAUUAUAUUAUUCAUAUGUCUGAUCAUGUGAGAAGGUUAUUUAACCCUACUCAUUGAGUUUAGGCACGCAACUCUGCCGUAAUAUUUUUUUAAGCUUUAAGAAGAAAAAGAGUCCUAUGGAAGCAAAUAGAUUGAACUACUGACGAACAAAAAUAUUAAUGGAUGUAUAGUUUUAUUGAGUACAAAUGCAUGUAGGAAAGAUUGUUAUUUAUAGAGUCCCGCAAUUGUAUUCCAAGUGUGUUGUAAUUAAAAGAUACAUAUGCAUUUAUUAUAUAAAUUAUAUUUAUGAAAUGUAUGUAAAUUAUUAGAUUAAGUCUACUAAGCUUUUGAACUGGAUUAUUGAAUGGUUGAAAUGACCUAACAACUUUGUUUUGAGAUUAUUUAUGAUGGGCCUAAGGCCUAGUUUGAUGACAAGUUAUAAAUCCAUUUAGGUUCAUGCUUACUGUGUGCUUUGGAGGCCUUAUGUUCACCCAGGUUCUAAUAACAAUCUGGUCCUUGAAAACAGAUCGUUACAUUAACUCUCUUUGUGUUUUCAAAAUAUUUUUCAUGACACAAAAAAAAAAAAAAUGUAAUUUAAUAGUUGAUGAAGCAUUAACUUAAUAAUAGAAAAACGAAAAGGAAAAUAGGAAAAAAAAAUGCUCCCUCCAUUCUAUUUAUAUAGAAAAAAAUUUCCUUUUUGGGCAUUCUAUUUAUGUAGAGAAAAUUUCUUAAUAUGGUAACUUUGGGACUAAUACCAAAGCAAAAAGUCGAAUAUGCCCUUAUUUUGGUUUAUAGAUUAAAUAUUGACUUUAAGAAUAUUUCAAGAAAGUGGCAGACAUUAUUGUGGUUGACAUUUAAUGUUAAAAAAUUGACUGAAUCAUGCAUUAAGAAAAUGUCAAAUUCAAGUCUAUUAUGUGCACAGAUUAAAUUUCACCAAAAAGCUUAUGCUUAACUUUUAAGUGUGCAUAUAUAAUGAAAUUUACUCAUAACUCUAAUAAAUCCUGAAUGGAGGAAAAUUUCCUCUCAAACGACUGUGCUAAAAUAAAAAUAGUUGUGCCAAUUUAUAUUUACUCCGAUGAACUCCUUAAUUGGCUAAAAAGAGAGAUACAGAACUUAAACCCUAAUUUCAUUGCUUAAAUAAAACUAGUUGUGCGCAUUUUUGCAUUAUGUCAAAUUCUAUAAAUUGUUUUAGCAGAUAUAGAUACAACAUCUGCAACUUUAUCAAUACUGCGAGCAUUUGAUUCUUCCCUUUCUGUUUCAGAACACAGUAACAUACAAACUGUAUUUUUCACAUCUACAAUGAUGUUUUUCCUUUUGUUGCUCUUUUCGGGCCUCUUUUGGAACGUUAAUUGGUAGUAGUGUGGUUUCGGAUUUUACAGAAAGCGGUUGUUCAGUGUAUGGUAAGGAGAUCAAGUCUAAGUGUUGAUUGUUGAGCAUGGGCACAUCUUCUGAAGUUGCAAGCAAGUUUUGAGAGACUGUAUUCAAAUCAAAAGGAAGGAAUGUGUCCAUGACGUUUGUGAAUUAAAUUUUAGCUUUGUGAACUCAUUCCUAUUUAGAUGAAUUCAGCUUUGAAAAUUUUGGCUCUAACUUUCAUUUUUUUCGCUUAAAUUUGGAGAAGCAAAAUAAAGAAUUUAAGGUUGAAAAUUUUGGCUAUGAACUUUCUUUCAACUUUCACUUCAAUUUUUUUAAUCAAAAUUUGAUAUUAAAAUUUUAAUGCGCAAUUGCAAUUAAACGGCCCACGUUUUUUUUUUUUUUUUGUUAUCAGAAGUUUAAAAAAAUAAAACGCCUUAUUUAAGCAACAGAUCCUUUCUCUCAUCAUUUAUCACGUUUUAUUGAAAAUUGGGGACCACUUUAAUAUCUUUUUAGGGGUAAAUUAAAAAAAAAUCCACAAAAAGAUCACAUCCUUAAUCCUAGAUAAAUUUUGACUUUCUCUAUAUAAAUAGAAUGGAGGAAGAAUUAAUCAAUACUCAAUAGAAAAAAUUUUCCGUUUGUUUUAUAAAUAAUAGGAAGAAGUUAAAAAUAAAAUUUAUUUUUUUAUAAAUUAAAAUUGAAUAGAAUUUUAUUUGACAAUAUUAACUAUUUUAGUAACUUUUAACUAAUUUUUAGCUAAAUAUUUAUAGAUGCCCCACCCAUGAACAUAAAUAACAGUGAGUACAUUCAUUUUAGAUAGGUCGAGUAUUUUAUUCAAUAAACCAAAUACACGAAAGAGGGAGUCAUGAUGGUAUUGACUAAAAAUUGGAAACUUUCAUAUCAAUACAUAAAUUUAUCAAUUAAAGCAAUACAGUACACAUAAAACAACUUUAAAGAAGAUGAAGUAAUGUAAUAUAAAUUAGGAGAAUUCGAUCUCAAAAUACCAUUUGGUGUGAUCCUUCGUUCCCCUUAAAAUCCAAUAUUUGACAAUUCAUUUUGGGCACUGAUUAAGGUCACGUUGGUAUGAGUUGCAUCGUGGAGGAUUUUUACGACUUUUACGUGGAAGGCAGUAGCGUUUCCCCCGACCGCAAUCAAGAGUAGAACGGCGUUUUCCCGUUACGCCAGUUACAACUUUGGUGCUAGCUGCAAGCAUUCUGUUAGUCUCGGAGUCCAUCAUCAACUCUAAUUCCAUGUUGGUGUCUGCCAUGGAAAAGGAAAAGGAGUUGCUGCUAAUCAUUUCCUGCGGAGUACUGACAGCUCGCAGACAACUGCUUCUGCUCAUCAGAAUCAAAAUCCCCACCACCGCUAGAGAAAGACUCCUCAUUCUGCCUUUUUUUUUUUUGUACUAUUUUCUAGUGUCGGUGUUUAUUUCAUAUGCAAAUACAGCUGUGGGGAGAGCUCUAAAUAGCAAAUUGGUGGUUUUUUGAC
Molecule: long non-coding RNA, 41216 nt
Filed under: Jatropha curcas
Lineage: Eukaryota; Viridiplantae; Streptophyta; Magnoliopsida; Malpighiales; Euphorbiaceae
Description: long non-coding RNA (JCUR_LNC000399)
Rfam family: Plant small nucleolar RNA R71 (bases 29780-29886)
Source: RNAcentral